GGUUGAUCCUGCCAGUAGUCAUAUGCUUGUCUCAAAGAUUAAGCCAUGCAUGUCUAAGUAUAAACAAAUUCAUACUGUGAAACUGCGAAUGGCUCAUUAAAUCAGUUAUAGUUUAUUUGAUGGUAUCUUGCUACAUGGAUAACUGUGGUAAUUCUAGAGCUAAUACAUGCUGAAAAGCCCCGACUUCCGGAAGGGGUGUAUUUAUUAGAUAAAAAACCAAUGGGUUCACGCCCUCUAUGGUGAUUCAUAAUAACUUCUCGAAUUGCAUGGCCUUGUGCCGGCGAUGCUUCAUU
Molecule: ribosomal RNA, 293 nt
Filed under: uncultured eukaryote
Lineage: Eukaryota
Description: partial 18S ribosomal RNA
Rfam family: Eukaryotic small subunit ribosomal RNA
Source: RNAcentral